This 443-nucleotide ribosomal RNA is filed under the name uncultured Oscillospiraceae bacterium. RNAcentral's name for it is "bacterial SSU rRNA". It matches the Rfam family "Bacterial small subunit ribosomal RNA", at positions 341 to 792 of the family's 1533-position model. The record is from RNAcentral. Lineage: Bacteria; Bacillati; Bacillota; Clostridia; Eubacteriales; Oscillospiraceae.
ACGGGAGGCAGCAGUGGGGGAUAUUGGACAAUGGGGGAAACCCUGAUCCAGCGACGCCGCGUGAGUGAAGAAGUAUUUCGGUAUGUAAAGCUCUAUCAGCAGGGAAGAAAAAAUCAAAAUUGACUGUACCUGACUAAGAAGCCACGGCUAACUACGUGCCAGCAGCCGCGGUAAUACGUAGGUGGCAAGCGUUGUCCGGAAUUACUGGGUGUAAAGGGAGCGCAGGCGGGACAGCAAGUUGGAUGUGAAAUACCGAGGCUUAACCACGGAGCUGCAUCCAAAACUGUUGUUCUUGAGUGAAGUAGAGGUAGGCGGAAUUCCGAGUGUAGCGGUGAAAUGCGUAGAUAUUCGGAGGAACACCAGUGGCGAAGGCGGCCUACUGGGCUUUAACUGACGCUGAGGCUCGAAAGCGUGGGGAGCAAACAGGAUUAGAUACCCUGGUA